AGCGGUGGAGCAUGUGGUUUAAUUNGNAGCAACGCGAAGNACCUUACCAANUCUUGACAUCNUNUGACCCNUCUAGAGAUAGAGUUUUCCCNUUNGGGGGACAGAGUGACAGGUGGUGCAUGGUUGUCNUCAGCUCGUGUCGUGAGAUGUUGGGUUAAGUCCCGCAACGAGCGCAACCCUUAAGCUUAGUUGCCAUCAUUAAGUUGGGCACUCUAAGUUGACUGCCGGUGACAAACCGGAGGAAGGUGGGGAUGACGUCAAAUCAUCAUGCCCCUUAUGAUUUGGGCUACACACGUGCUACAAUGGACAAUACAAAGGGCAGCGAAACCGCGAGGUCAAGCAAAUCCCAUAAAGUUGUUCUCAGUUCGGAUUGUAGUCUGCAACUCGACUAUAUGAAGCUGGAAUCGCUAGUAAUCGUAGAUCAGCAUGCUACGGUGAAUACGUUCCCGGGUCUUGUACACACCGCCCGUCACACCACGAGAGUUUGUAACACCCGAAGCC
RNAcentral lists this ribosomal RNA (501 nucleotides) under uncultured Staphylococcus sp. RNAcentral describes it as "bacterial SSU rRNA". It matches the Rfam family "Bacterial small subunit ribosomal RNA", at positions 928 to 1428 of the family's 1533-position model. Lineage: Bacteria; Bacillati; Bacillota; Bacilli; Caryophanales; Staphylococcaceae. The record is from RNAcentral.